Molecule: long non-coding RNA, 459 nt
Organism: Nilaparvata lugens (brown planthopper)
Lineage: Eukaryota; Metazoa; Arthropoda; Insecta; Hemiptera; Delphacidae
Exons: 2
Source: RefSeq, a predicted model, not a curated record
AUCCUAAAAACACGGAAUCUAUGAAUUCUCCAAUAUUCAAAUAUCGCGCAAAAUUGUAUUCAAGCAUGCGCAAUGAAACUGCUCAACUCAAAGAAAAUACCAACGACCAACGGUAACCUCGCAUUUUUAAAGCUGUGAGUGGAAUCGUGGAUGUGAAUAUGUGAUGUGAUCGUCUUGCAAUUUUUGUUAUCUCUAUCCGUUGAAUGAUUGAAUGAAAGGUGCAGUGUGGAACAUCAAGUCUACUUCCAGUGCCCCAAAUGAAGAAAUCCAUAUAAUAAUCCAAAAUUGGUUUUGACUCUCCAAAGACCAUGAUGGAGGUCGAGAAAAACGGAGAAAUGAUCCAGCACCCAAUCACAUGUAACUAGGCCAAGUGCCAAUAAGUAAAUUUUUAGAGAAUCUCAAACAUCCAUAAUCUUUUUUGUAAUAAUUUUACAAUAUACAGACUUUUCAUGCAUUUAA